Molecule: long non-coding RNA, 735 nt
Organism: Megalobrama amblycephala (Wuchang bream)
Lineage: Eukaryota; Metazoa; Chordata; Actinopteri; Cypriniformes; Xenocyprididae
Exons: 3
Source: RefSeq, a predicted model, not a curated record
GGCUGCGUCUAUUUGUUUGUAGUUUCAAUACACGCGGUUUCCUGACGCUACAGACUUGUUGUCUCCCGUUGUGUGCUGUAUUACCAUUGACGUGAGCUCACGGACGCACGCAUACGAUUGCGUUGCUGCGUAUCAGCGGUUCCUUGUUCUCCCCUGUGCACGUAUUUUACGCGGAUUGAUAGAACGAGCCUGCAGCUUUCUGGUUCACCGGUGCACUUAAUGGUAGACUCGCGCCUAUGGGCCAUUAAAUCUCGUGCUGUCGGGGCUUCGUGGGAAUAAUCAUCCAGGGGCGCUGUUGCUUUGCCUGUUAUUUCGUACAUUUGUGGUGUUUUUCUUUGGUUUUGUUGUUUUUCCUUUGUUGUUGUAUGUUUGGUUGUAAAAUGUUUAUUCUUAUUUCUUUUGUUUAAUGUUCUUGGUUAAUUUAUUUUGUUGGUACAACCUUCUUAUAAUUCUUUAUUGUAUAUUGAGUUUAUUUUGUGUAUAAAAGAGGGAUUUAAUAUCCUUCUCCUUUCUUUUUGUUUGUUUCAUUAUAUUGUGAUUUUGUAUUUAUGGGUGAAAGGCAUGAUUAAGGGUUAAAAGUGCCUUCACAUCCCUUGCAUUGACGUGCUUGAUGCAAUGUGUUUGUGAAUUUACCAGUGAUUUUGUUGUGACUAUCCUCAAGUGUAACACACCAUCUCUUUGUUACAGGAGCUGAGUGCUGAAGGUGGGUGGAUUUUGGUGGUGGUGUUGCUUCAC